GCUCAACCGGGGAGGGUCAUUGGAAACUGGGGGACUUGAGUGCAGAAGAGGAGAGUGGAAUUCCACGUGUAGCGGUGAAAUGCGUAGAGAUGUGGAGGAACACCAGUGGCGAAGGCGACUCUCUGGUCUGUAACUGACGCUGAGGAGCGAAAGCGUGGGGAGCGAACAGGAUUAGAUACCCUGGUAGUCCACGCCGUAAACGAUGAGUGCUAAGUGUUAGGGGGUUUCCGCCCCUUAGUGCUGCAGCUAACGCAUUAAGCACUCCGCCUGGGGAGUACGGUCGCAAGACUGAAACUCAAAGGAAUUGACGGGGGCCCGCACAAGCGGUGGAGCAUGUGGUUUAAUUCGAAGCAACGCGAAGAACCUUACCAGGUUUUGACAUCCUCUGACAAUCCUAGAGAUAGGACGUCCCCUUCGGGGGCAGAGUGACAGGUGGUGCAUGGUUGUCGUCAGCUCGUGUCGUGAGAUGUUGGGUUAAGUCCCGCAACGAGCGCAACCCUUGAUCUUAGUUGCCAGCAUUCAGUUGGGCACUCUAAGGUGACUGCCGGUGACAAACCGGAGGAAGGUGGGGAUGACGUCAAAUCAUCAUGCCCCUUAUGACCUGGGCUACACACGUGCUACAAUGGACAGAACAAAG
This 637-nucleotide ribosomal RNA is filed under the name uncultured bacterium. Its description in RNAcentral is "bacterial SSU rRNA". It matches the Rfam family "Bacterial small subunit ribosomal RNA", at positions 607 to 1244 of the family's 1533-position model. The record is from RNAcentral.